RNAcentral lists this ribosomal RNA (497 nucleotides) under uncultured bacterium. RNAcentral's name for it is "partial 16S ribosomal RNA". It matches the Rfam family "Bacterial small subunit ribosomal RNA", at positions 28 to 507 of the family's 1533-position model. The record is from RNAcentral.
GAUGAACGCUGGCGGCGUGCCUAAUACAUGCAAGUCGAGCGAACAGACGAGGAGCUUGCUCCUCUGACGUUAGCGGCGGACGGGUGAGUAACACGUGGAUAACCUACCUAUAAGACUGGGAUAACUUCGGGAAACCGGAGCUAAUACCGGAUAAUAUAUUGAACCGCAUGGUUCAAUAGUGAAAGACGGUUUUGCUGUCACUUAUAGAUGGAUCCGCGCCGCAUUAGCUAGUUGGUAAGGUAACGGCUUACCAAGGCAACGAUGCGUAGCCGACCUGAGAGGGUGAUCGGCCACACGGGAACUGAGACACGGUCCAGACUCCUACGGAAGGCAGCAGUAGGGAAUCUUCCGCAAUGGGCGAAAGCCUGACGGAGCAACGCCGCGUGAGUGAUGAAGGUCUUCGGAUCGUAAAACUCUGUUAUUAGGGAAGAACAAAUGUGUAAGUAACUAUGCACGUCUUGACGGUACCUAAUCAGAAAGCCACGGCUAACUACGUG